Oryctolagus cuniculus (rabbit) is the source of this 1420-nucleotide non-coding RNA. NCBI's taxonomy places the organism in Eukaryota, Metazoa, Chordata, Mammalia, Lagomorpha, Leporidae. The record is from RefSeq and is a predicted model, not a curated record.
CAUUCCGGGGCAGAGCCAGUGCUUGCCGCACCGAGAAUGACCAGUUCCUGCGUGCUGACGGGGAGGGGGAGUCAGAGCCGCCAGCCGGGGUUCACCCUGGGGAGGGGGGAGUCAGAGCCGCCAGCCGGGGUUCACCCUGGGGAGGGGGGUGUCAGAGCCGCCAGCCGGGGUUCACCCUGGGGAGGGGGGAGAGGAGUGUCAGAGCCGCCAGCCGGGGUUCACCCCUGGGGAGGGGGGAGUCAGAGCCGCCAGCCGGGGUUCACCCUGGGGAGGGGGGAGUCAGAGCCGCCAGCCGGGGUUCACCCUGGGGAGGGGGGAGAGGAGUGUCAGAGCCGCCAGCCGGGGUUCACCCCUGGGGAGGGGGGAGUCAGAGCCGCCAGCCGGGGUUCACCCCUGGGGAGGGUGUCAGAGCCGCCAGCCGGGGUUCACCCUGGGGAGGGGGGAGUCAGAGCCGCCAGCCGGGGUUCACCCUGGGGAGGGGGGAGAGGAGUGUCAGAGCCGCCAGCCGGGGUUCACCCCUGGAGAGGGGGAGUCAGAGCCGCCAGCCGGGGUUCACCCUGGGGAGGGGGAGGAGUGUCAGAGCCGCCAGCCGGGGUUCACCCCUGGAGAGGGGGAGGAGUGUCAGAGCUGCCAGCCGGGGGUUCACCCUGGGGGGGGGGUGUCAGAGCCGCCAGCGGGGGUUCACCCUGGGGAGGGGGGAGAGGAGUGUCAGAGCCGCCAGCCGGGGUUCACCCUGGGGAGGGGGGUGAGGAGUGUCAGAGCCGCCAGCCCCACCCCACCCCCACCCCCGUGAUGGAACAGUGCGGCUGACCUAACCUGCUGAGCCUUUCAAAGCGCUGAAAUCCUGCCGGGCUAACAGGGGAAAUAAAACAGUGUGACUCCCAACCACGAAAGCCAUUUCCAGCUGGAGACCUGAAACAGCCCUCACUGGCCAGUAGAUGGCGCCAAAGGUCAGUCCCUUUCCGCCUUGGGAUUCCCAGCACCUGGUGCAGUUCCAACACUGGCCAGCCCUUCACCCUGCACACAGGAGGCCACAAUCCCCACCCUGUGCUGCCAGAGGAGGAGGCGGAUUUGUAGGAUAAAGGCAAGAGAGAGACGGAAACUAAUUUCAUCCCAGCUGCGGAGGAAGCAUCUAGAGCUGGUUUCCAAGUGGGGAUCAGCAGACGAGUGUUCCUGGAGGAGAGAAAGGCAUUGCAAGAGAAGAGACGGUGGGGCCUGCCGGGUGGCACUGGGGCUGAGCUGCUGCGUGUGAUCCGGGGAAUCCCAUCUCCAGCUUCUCGCUAAUGUGCCCUGGAAGGCAGCCAACAUGCGGGACCUGGCCCAGCCCUGCUUGUUGUGGGCAUUUGAGGGUGAACCAGCAGAUGGAAGAUACCUCUCUCUUUCUGUCACUCUUCCUUUCAAAUAAACAAAUCUUAAUGUA